AUUGAACGCUGGCGGAAUGCUUUACACAUGCAAGUCGAGCGGCAGCGCGGGGGCAACCCUGCGGCGAGCGGCGAACGGGUGAGUAAUACAUCGGAACGUGUCCUUGAGUGGGGGAUAGCUCGGCGAAAGCCGGAUUAAUACCGCAUAAGCUCUGAGGAGGAAAGCGGGGGACUGGUAACGGCCUCGUGCUGUUGGAGCGGCCGAUGUCGGAUUAGCUAGUUGGUGGGGAAAGGCCCACCAAGGCGACGAUCCGUAGCUGGUCUGAGAGGAUGAUCAGCCACACUGGAACUGAGACACGGUCCAGACUCCUACGGGAGGCAGCAGUGGGGAAUUUGACAAUGGGGGCAACCCUGAUCCAGCCAUUCCGCGUGAGUGAAGAAGGCCU
This 385-nucleotide ribosomal RNA is filed under the name uncultured bacterium. RNAcentral's name for it is "bacterial SSU rRNA". It matches the Rfam family "Bacterial small subunit ribosomal RNA", at positions 29 to 417 of the family's 1533-position model. The record is from RNAcentral.